CAAAUUGUUUGCACCUUCGAACUUCGGGUAUUGUUGCUCUCUGUUCAUGCAAGAAGGACCAGGGAAGUGGGAGAGUAAAGGAAUAAGCUCUCUAACAGUUAUUAAUAUAUUUUAUUUAUUAAAAACCUAGUUUUGAAUAGACAGUGCAAUAAAAUAUCAUUUUUCACAAAAAAUUACAAGGAGAUCUUCAGUUCUAAAAGCAGUUUGAGAAGUUCUAAAAUGUAACCAAACUUCUCCUUUCCCUUUAGGAUGCCUCGUGGGAUGGGUUGUGUAGCUGCCAUCCUGCUAUUCAGGAAAAGAAAUGAAGUAAGGAAGAGAAUAUUGAAGUCAUCCCUGUGGGUGGACCAGCCUGUGAUGUGAUCCAGCCAGAAGCCAGCCCCUACUAAUUAAGGAGAAAAAUGAUAGAAAUAAAUGUUAAGGAUCUCAAACAGAAAAACCAUUCAGUUAUUGACAUUUUUGCAUCCUAAUACUCUCACAAGCACGGCUGCAGAAUCAGUGGAGCAGACUUCCUUUUUUCAGCUUCGAAGCACUGGAAUGGGUUACCUAGGGAGGGGGUGGAAUCUCCUUCCUUAGAGGUUUUUAAGGUCAGGCUUGACAAAGCCCUGGCUGGGAUGAUUUAGUUGGGAAUUGGUCCUGCUUUGAGCACGGGGUUGGACUAGAUGACCUCCUGAGGUCCCUUCCAACCCUGAUAUUCUAUGAUUCUAUUCCCUCUGCUGUUGGGAUGAUAUUUGGGCUCACAGAGAUUUUGUUCCAGUUCCUGUUUUUAUUCACAGCCUUAUCCUGGAUUAUCUUUCACCUUUAACAUGAGAUAAAGGCCAAGCCAAGUCCAUCUUCUAAUCUAGGGAUCUGAGGACAAGUUUUGUUUUUU
Molecule: long non-coding RNA, 868 nt
Organism: Mauremys mutica (yellowpond turtle)
Lineage: Eukaryota; Metazoa; Chordata; Testudines; Geoemydidae
Exons: 2
Source: RefSeq, a predicted model, not a curated record